CGUCCAGACUCCUACGGGAGGCAGCAGUGAGGAAUAUUGGUCAAUGGGCGCGAGCCUGAACCAGCCAAGUCGCGUGAGGGAGGACGGCCCUACGGGUUGUAAACCUCUUUUGCCGGGGAGCAACGGGCGUCACGUGUGGCGCCACUGAGAGUACCCGGAGAAAAAGCAUCGGCUAACUCCGUGCCAGCAGCCGCGGUAAUACGUAGGGGGCAAGCGUUAUCCGGAUUUACUGGGUGUAAAGGGGGCGCAGACGGCGAUGCAAGCCAGGAGUGAAAGCCCGGGGCCCAACCCCGGGACUGCACUGGAAACUGCCGGGCUGGAGUGUCGGAGGGGCAGGCGGAAUUCCUAGUGUAGCGGUGAAAUGCGUAGAUAUUAGGAGGAACACCGGUGGCGAAGGCGGCCUGCUGGACGACGACUGACGCUGAGGCUCGAAAGCGUGGGGAGCAAACAGGAUUAGAUACCCCUGUAUA
RNAcentral lists this ribosomal RNA (470 nucleotides) under uncultured bacterium. RNAcentral's name for it is "bacterial SSU rRNA". It matches the Rfam family "Bacterial small subunit ribosomal RNA", at positions 328 to 794 of the family's 1533-position model. The record is from RNAcentral.